CGGACGGGUGAGUAACACGUGGAUAACCUACCUAUAAGACUGGGAUAACUUCGGGAAACCGGAGCUAAUACCGGAUAAUAUUUUGAACCGCAUGGUUCAAAAGUGAAAGACGGUCUUGCUGUCACUUAUAGAUGGAUCCGAGCUGCAUUAGCUAGUUGGUAAGGUAACGGCUUACCAAGGCAACGAUGCAUAGCCGACCUGAGAGGGUGAUCGGCCACACUGGAACUGAGACACGGUCCAG
This 241-nucleotide ribosomal RNA is filed under the name uncultured Staphylococcus sp. RNAcentral describes it as "partial 16S ribosomal RNA". It matches the Rfam family "Bacterial small subunit ribosomal RNA", at positions 99 to 334 of the family's 1533-position model. Lineage: Bacteria; Bacillati; Bacillota; Bacilli; Caryophanales; Staphylococcaceae. The record is from RNAcentral.